UAGGUGAACCUGCGGAGGGAUCAUUACACAAAUAUGAAGGCGGGCUGGAACCUCUCGGGGUUACAGCCUUGCUGAAUUAUUCACCCUUGUCUUUUGCGUACUUCUUGUUUCCUUGGUGGGUUCGCCCACCACUAGGACAAACAUAAACCUUUUGUAAUUGCAAUCAGCGUCAGUAACAAAUUAAUAAUUACAACUUUCAACAACGGAUCUCUUGGUUCUGGCAUCGAUGAAGAACGCAGCGAAAUGCGAUAAGUAGUGUGAAUUGCAGAAUUCAGUGAAUCAUCGAAUCUUUGAACGCACAUUGCGCCCUUUGGUAUUCCAAAGGGCAUGCCUGUUCGAGCGUCAUUUGUACCCUCAAGCUUUGCUUGGUGUUGGGCGUCUUGUCUCUAGCUUUGCUGGAGACUCGCCUUAAAGUAAUUGGCAGCCGGCCUACUGGUUUCGGAGCGCAGCACAAGUCGCACUCUCUAUCAGCAAAGGUCUAGCAUCCAUUAAGCCUUUUUUUUCAACUUUUGACCUCGGAUCAGGUAGGGAUACCCGCUGAACUUAAGCAUAUCAAUAAGCGGAGGAGGAUCCGUG
RNAcentral lists this ribosomal RNA (576 nucleotides) under uncultured fungus. RNAcentral describes it as "eukaryotic LSU rRNA". The stretch from base 192 to 345 matches the Rfam family "5.8S ribosomal RNA". The record is from RNAcentral. Lineage: Eukaryota; Fungi.